CAAUAGCGUAUAUUUAAGUUGUUGCAGUUAAAAAGCUCGUAGUCGGAUUUUGGCUGAGAACGAUCGGUCCGCCGUUAGGUGUGCACUGAUUGGUCUCAGCAUCCUGGUGAGGAGGUGUGCUUCACGGCCACUUAGUCACCGUGGUUACUUUGAAAAAAUUAGAGUGUUCAAAGCGGGCUUACGCUUGAAUAUAUUAGCAUGGAAUAACACCAUAGGACUCCUGUCCUAUUUCGUUGGUCUCGGGACGGGAGUAAUGAUUAAGAGGAACAGUUGGGGGCAUUCGUAUUUCAUUGUCAGAGGUGAAAUUCUUGGAUUUAUGAAAGACGAACUUCUGCGAAAGCAUUUGCCAAGGAUGUUUUCAUUGA
Molecule: ribosomal RNA, 365 nt
Filed under: uncultured eukaryote
Lineage: Eukaryota
Description: partial 18S ribosomal RNA
Rfam family: Eukaryotic small subunit ribosomal RNA
Source: RNAcentral